AGCGAACGCUGGCGGCGUACUUAACACAUGCAAGUCGAACGGGGAUCGUCGGGUUAGCAAUAAUUCGGCGGUCCUAGUGGCGUACGGGUGAGUAACACGUGGGCAACUUGCCCUUGAGACCGGGAUACCCUCUCGAAAGGGAGGCUAAUACUGGAUACGUUCUUCGGAUCGCAAGAUCUGGAGAGGAAAGGUGGCGCAAGCUACCGCUCUUGGAGAGGCUCGCGGCCUAUCAGCUAGUUGGUGAGGUAAUGGCUCACCAAGGCUAUGACGGGUAGCUGGUCUGAGAGGACGACCAGCCACACGGGAACUGAGACACGGUCCCGACUCCUACGGGAGGCAGCAGUGGGGAAUUUUCCGCAAUGGGCGAAAGCCUGACGGAGUGACGCCGCGUGGGGGACGAA
This 401-nucleotide ribosomal RNA is filed under the name uncultured bacterium. RNAcentral describes it as "bacterial SSU rRNA". It matches the Rfam family "Bacterial small subunit ribosomal RNA", at positions 29 to 412 of the family's 1533-position model. The record is from RNAcentral.